GUGGUUAAGAAACAAAGGGCGCACGGUGAAUGCCUUGGCACUAGGAGCCGAUGAAGGACGUGACGAACGACGAAACGCUUUGGGGAGCUGUAAGUAAGCUAUGAUCCAGAGAUAUCCGAAUGGGGGAACCCACUGCUAAAUGCAGUACGCGUAAGCGAGGAAGACGCAGAGAACUGAAACAUCUAAGUACCUGCAGGAAGAGAAAGAAAAAUCGAUUCCCUAAGUAGCGGCGAGCGAAAAGGGAAGAGCCCAAACCAUUGUGCAUGCACAAUGGGGUUGUAGGACUCCGACAUAAGACUAAAGUGAGUAGUAGAAUCUGAUGGGAAGCAGAGCGAGACAAGGUGAGAGCCCUGUAUACGAAACUGACUGAAGCUUUAGGAGUAUCCUGAGUACGGCGGGACACGAGGAAUCCCGUUGGAAUCCGCCAGGACCAUCUGGCAAGGCUAAAUACUCCCUAGUGACCGAUAG
RNAcentral lists this ribosomal RNA (468 nucleotides) under Globicatella sanguinis. RNAcentral describes it as "bacterial LSU rRNA". It matches the Rfam family "Bacterial large subunit ribosomal RNA", at positions 1 to 490 of the family's 2925-position model. The record is from RNAcentral. Lineage: Bacteria; Bacillati; Bacillota; Bacilli; Lactobacillales; Aerococcaceae.